Molecule: long non-coding RNA, 340 nt
Filed under: Setaria italica (foxtail millet)
Lineage: Eukaryota; Viridiplantae; Streptophyta; Magnoliopsida; Poales; Poaceae
Description: long non-coding RNA (SITA_LNC000937)
Source: RNAcentral
CUCCAUCGGCGGGCUCGGCACCCAGUAUUCCCUGCCCAGCGUGCAGGCCGCCACCGACCUCGCCGACUACCUCUGGUUCGCCUUCCUAGCCGGCCACCGCAAGGGCGUCCACCGCCCGUUCGGCGACGCCGCGGAGCUCGACGGCAUCGACCUGUUCAUCGACCAGGGCCCGCCGGACUACUACGACGUGCUGGCGCGCCGGCUGUGGAGCUACAACAAGGACUUCCGCGGCCGCACGCCGGCGCAGCUGUCGGCGACGCCGCGGUGCCGGUACCCGGACCCGCGGCUGGAGCGGGCGCUCGCCACGGGGGUCGUCACACGCAUCAACGUCAGGUUCUAC